GAUGAACGCUGGCGGCGUGCCUAAUACAUGCAAGUCGAGCGAACAGACGAGGAGCUUGCUCCUCUGACGUUAGCGGCGGACGGGUGAGUAACACGUGGAUAACCUACCUAUAAGACUGGGAUAACUUCGGGAAACCGGAGCUAAUACCGGAUAAUAUAUUGAACCGCAUGGUUCAAUAGUGAAAGACGGUUUUGCUGUCACUUAUAGAUAGAUCCGCGCCGCAUUAGCUAGUUGGUAAGGUAACGGCUUACCAAGGCGACGAUGCGUAGCCGACCUGUGAGGGUGAUCGGCCACACUGGAACUGAGACACGGUCCAGACUCCUACGGGAGGCAGCAGUAGGGAAUCUUCCGCAAUGGGCGAAAGCCUGACGGAGCAACGCCGCGUGAGUGAUGAAGGUCUUCGGAUCGUAAAACUCUGUUAUUAGGGAAGAACAAAUGUGUAAGUAACUAUGCACGUCUUGACGGUACCUAAUCAGAAAGCCACGGCUAACUACGUG
RNAcentral lists this ribosomal RNA (497 nucleotides) under uncultured bacterium. RNAcentral's name for it is "partial 16S ribosomal RNA". It matches the Rfam family "Bacterial small subunit ribosomal RNA", at positions 28 to 507 of the family's 1533-position model. The record is from RNAcentral.